This 468-nucleotide ribosomal RNA is filed under the name uncultured bacterium. Its description in RNAcentral is "partial 16S ribosomal RNA". It matches the Rfam family "Bacterial small subunit ribosomal RNA", at positions 28 to 507 of the family's 1533-position model. The record is from RNAcentral.
GACGAACGCUGGCGGCGUGCUUAACACAUGCAAGUCGAACGGAAAGGCCCUGCUUUUGUGGGGUGCUCGAGUGGCGAACGGGUGAGUAACACGUGAGUAACCUGCCCUUGACUUUGGGAUAACUUCAGGAAACUGGGGCUAAUACCGGAUAGGAGCUCCUGCUGCAUGGUGGGGGUUGGAAAGUUUCGGCGGUUGGGGAUGGACUCGCGGCUUAUCAGCUUGUUGGUGGGGUAGUGGCUUACCAAGGCUUUGACGGGUAGCCGGCCUGAGAGGGUGACCGGCCACAUUGGAACUGAGAUACGGCCCAGACUCCUACGGGAGGCAGCAGUGGGGAAUAUUGCACAAUGGGCGGAAGCCUGAUGCAGCAACGCCGCGUGCGGGAUGACGGCCUUCGGGUUGUAAACCGCUUUCGCCUGUGACGAAGCGUGAGUGACGGUAAUGGGUAAAGAAGCACCGGCUGACUACGUG